UUAUAUAAAAAAAAAUCCGUGUUAGGGUUCAGCUGUAACAAACACCUUCUGCGGUUCUGCCACCACCUCAGCUUCCAUAACUGCAAUAUCACCGGCCAACGGCCACCAUAUCGCCGUCGACCAUCGCCACGGGCUCAGCUCUAGUUGUGGUAACUAGACAACGUCUCAUCUUUCCCCUGAAUACUGGACAUGAGGACAUUGUUGGUGAACCAGAUAUUGACAAACCAAACCAAGUGACAAUUUUCGAGUCUUCUGGCAAGCUCCUAUGGAAUCUCAAACACAUAAUGAGGAACAAGGUGUAGAACAUCUCUUCAGACGCUUGCAGGAUUUCCCAGAUGAUGCGUCGCUGCAUUUUGAUAUUGGCUUAUUCUUAUGGGAAAAAGGAGGAGAAGCGAAUGGAUCCGCAGAAAAAGCGGCUGAACAUUUCAUUGAAUCAGCCAAAUUGAACCCCAAGAAUGGAGAACCUUUCAAAUAUCUUGGUCAUUAUUAUGGCCGCAUUUCCAUUGAUACUCAGAGAGCCCUUAAGUGUUAUCAGCGAGCUGUUGCUCUCAAUCCUGAUGAUUCUGAUUCUGGGGAAGCUCUUUGCAAUUUACUAUACCAAGGAGGAAAGGAUAGUUUGGAGGCAGCAGUAUGUCGUGAAGCUUCUGAAAAGUCACCAAGGGCCUUUUGGGCAUUCCGUAGAUUGGGUUUCCUGCAGGUUCAUCAGAAGAAAUGGUCUGAAGCUGUUCAGAAUCUUCAACAUGCCAUACGAGGCUAUCCUACAUGUGCUGAACUGUGGGAAGCUUUGGGCCUUGCUUAUCAGCGACUGGGCAGGUAUACUGCAGCCAUAAAGUCUUAUGGCCGUGCCAUCGAGUUGGAUGAUAAGAUGGUCUUUGCUUUGGUUGAAAGCGGAAAUAUCUCAUUGACACUUGGUUCAUUUAGGAAGGGAGUUGAACAAUUUCGACAAGCUUUGGAGAUUUCAUCACAUUGUGUGCCUGCACAAUAUGGGCUUGCUUUGGGGCUGCUUUGUUUAGCAAAAGAUUGCAUGAACCUGGGAGCAUUUAAGUGGGGGGUUUCUUUAUUAGAGGAAGCAUCUGAGGUUGCAAGAGCAAGUGCUUAUUCUGUUAGGAAUGUCUCAUGUAUUUGGAAACUAUAUGCUGACGUUCAGCUUGCAUAUGCAAGAUGUUAUCCUUGGAUUGAGGAGGUCCAAGAAUUGGAAGCUAAUAAGGAAGCUUUCAGUGCUUCCAUCAUUUCUUGGAGGAGAACCUGUCUUUCGGCGGCAAGACUUGCUAGGUUUUCGUAUCAACGAGCCUUGCACUUGUGUCCAUGGCAAGCAAACAUUUAUGCAGAUAUUGCUGUAACUUCAGAUCUUAUUACCUCAUUGGACAAGGAUUAUGAACGAGACUUAGAUGCAUGUAGGCAGCUGCCAGAGAAAAUGUGUGUGGGAGCUUUGCUGCUUGAAGGUGACAAUUAUGAGUUUUGGGUGACAUUGGGAUGUUUGUCUGAUCAAAAUGCACUAAAUCAACAUGCUCUAAUCAGAGGAUUGCAGUUGAAUGUAUCUCUAGCUGUUGCUUGGGGAUAUCUUGGGAAGCUUUAUAGUAAAAUGAGCAAAAAGAAAUUGGCACGGCAAAUGUUUGAUCGUGCUAGAAGUAUUGAUCCUAGCCUUGCUUUGCCAUGGGCAAGCAUGUCAGCUGAUUGUUGUGUGAGGGAGUCUGCUCCCGAUGAGGCGUUUGAGAGCUGUUCCCAAGCAGUGCAGAUGAUGCCUUUAGCUGAAUUCCAAAUUGGGCUCACUAAGCUUGCUAUGCUGAGUGGCCAUCUUUCAUCUACACAGGUUUUUGGAGCUAUUCAGCAAGCUGUGCAGCGAUCUCCUCACUAUCCCGAAUCACAUAAUUUACAUGGUCUGGUCUGCGAGUCUCGAAAAGAUUACAGAUCUGCUGCUAUUUCUUACAGGAUAGCCCUCCAUGCCAUUAGCAUUGCCUCGUUAGAUAAUCAAAACUCACAGAUAAAAGAUGUAUCAAUUAAUUUGGCGAGAUCACUUUGUAAGGCUGGGAAUGCUGUUGAUGCUAUACAGGAAUGUGAAAAUUUGAGGAAAGAAGGAAUGCUUGACUUCGAAGUUUUUCAAGUAUAUGCAAUCUCGUUGUGGCAACUUGGUAAAAAUGAUUUAGCACUCUCAAUAGUCAGAAGUCUUGCAGCAAAUGUUUCUUCUAUGGAAAAGACAGCCAUGGAAAUCUCCGUUAGUUUCAUCUUUAGAUUAUUAUACUACAUCAGUGGACUAGAUGCAGUCAUAACCAACAUUAUGAAAAUGCCAAAGGAGCUUAUUCAAAGUUCAAAAGUUAAUUUUGUUAUGUCUGCUAUCGAUGCUCUUGAUGGACACAAUCGUCUUGGAUUUCUUGUCUCAAGUAACCUAUAUUUUCUCAAAGAUCAUGAUGAAAUUGACAGGGUGCACUUUUUAAUAGCACUUGGUAAACUGGUGAAAAAUGGGCAUGAUGGCUUCCUUGCAGUUCAGAGUGGAAUUGCCUACCUCAGAAGGAUUCUGCACAUGUUCCCUAACUGUAGUUUGAUAAGGAACCUUGUUGGCUAUCUCUCACUAUCUGGUAAAGAGUCGAACAGUUGCCAUCUGGCUACAAGGUGUUGUAAACUGGACCAUCUUGACCUUUCUGAUAAAGAAGGUUUAAAAUCAGCUUCUGAUAUUCAUGGUGCUGCAGUAGUUGCCUGCUAUGCCAAUGGGAACAGCAACCCAAAGUCUACUUUUCAAACUUGUACAAAUCAGUAUUCUAGAGGUCCUGCAACAAUCCGAUACCUGCAGAGAUACUUUCAUCAGAAACCAUGGAAUCAUGAUGCUCGGUACUUGCUUAUUCUUACCUAUUUCCAGAGGGCACGUGAAGAGAGAUUUCCUCAUCAGCUGUGUGUUAUUCUAAAUCGUCUAAUAUGUGUUGCUCUUUCAAAUGAAUUUUGUGGAAAGAAAGAAAUGUGCUAUGAAUAUAGACAAUUUCAACUUCUACUUUGUGCUUCUGAGAUCAGUUUACAAUGCGGGAAUCACAUCACCUCUAUAUCCCAUGCCCAAAAGGCCUCUGUACUCAUGCUUCCUGAUAAUUAUUUGUUCUUUGCCCACCUACUAUUGUGCCGUGUAUAUGCCAUAAAAGGUGAUCUUUUGAAUUGUAAGAAAGAGUAUAUGCGAUGCUUGGAGUUGAGGACAGAUUGCCAUAUUGGUUGGAUGUCUCUCAAACUUAUGGAAUGCCAUUAUCAAUUGCAAAUUGAUUCAAAUCUCAUUGAUUCGAACUUUGAAGAAUGCCUUAAAAAGGGUGCAAAUUCAUGGAAUAUGUGGAUAGCUGUGUAUAACCUGGUGAGGGGUUUGAUUUCCUUUCAUCAGAAGGAUUUAGUCUCAGCCGAAGAGCUCAUGCGAGAGGCUUGUUCAAUGGCAGGUUUUGAAAGCUGCCUUUUUCUAUGUCAUGGUGCUAUCUGCAUGGAGCUUGCCAGGCAGUGUGGCGGUUCGAUGCUCCUAUCAUGGGCUGUUGAUAGUCUUAACAGAUUUCAUGAGCUUUUGCCAAUCUCUUUGCCUCUUGCCUCCUUAUUGGUUGCUCAAGCAGAAGGAAGCCUCGGUGCAAAAGACAAAUGGGACAGAAGCAUUCGCCUUGAAUGGUAUUCCUGGCCAUCAGUAAUGAGGCCUGCAGAGCUCUACUUUCAAAUGCAUUUGGUUGUAAGGCAGUUAAAAGAUGGACCCAACGUCACAGGUAGAUUAGAGUCCUCUCAUAGUGCUUGGAGAUGGGUAAUUCGGGCAAUUCACAUGAACCCUUCUUGCAUGAGAUAUUGGAAGGUCUUACAGAAGCUUAUGGAGUAGAAAUGUAGAAUUGAAGUCGUUUCACCAUCCGGUGCUAGCGUGAUCUGCUACACGCCAUUUUCAUCAAUCCAGUUCUUAACUAUAGCCACUUUCACUGUUUAGCGUAAUCGAACCAGCCAGCAAAGUGUGAUGGGCCAUCUAUAGGUCUUAUGUUUCGAUGGGCCCUAUGGCCUAUGCAUCAGCCGGUUUUGGAAAUUAUCCAUUUUACAAAAAAGAUCGUCAAUUUUCUAAAGACUUUUCUGACCCUAGAAAAAAGUACACUGAAGACUUCGGAGUUUAGCUCGAGUUUUGAGUGUGAUGAUAGUAGCACUUUAAGUAGAGAGUGUUGCUUGUAAGUUGUAACCAAGAAAUCUAGUACAAAUGGUAUUGUUUUUAAGGUGUUUAAAUAGUAUGUUCUGGGUUCAAUUAUUGGUGACAAUGUGUAUAUUGAUUUUGUAGUCAGUUUUGUAAUCAUUGAAAAGUGAAUUUCGACAGGAUUAAAUAUUUAUUGUUGGCUAUUGACCGGUGGAUAUUUGGAGGUUAGCCUCUAUUGACAAAAGAAAGUGAAAUGUGUGGCUAUUUAUAUUCAUCUAAUCUUAUACACUACGUUAAACACAUCUCUUGGAGGUAAUGAUGAAUACGCAUUAUGCACAAAAUUAAGUACGCGAUAUUUCUCAGAAGUGAUACAUAGUCUUAAUUAUUAGGUAAAAAAAAUAAUAACAAAAAUGAUCACAUACAGAGAUAUACGAUUUUAUACGGCAAGUAUUUAUAUUUUAUGAAGUCUAAUACUGUUUGUUGAUUUUUUUGAAUGGAUAAACUGUGUACAAUAAAGUGUAUUCUUAGCAUGAGAGUUGGCAAACAAGUCCAUAUAUUUGCGCGUGAAACUGUGAAUGGCAACACUGUAUGGUACAGCUGAGCUUGGCAUUAUGUUAUGUAAAAUGGAUGUAUGAUUUGGUGAAGAACAAGUGUGCACUUUGCACUUUUUGGGCAUGGAAGUCUCGUAUAGCUUUAAGUCAUGAGAUUGAGACCUGCACUCAUCAUUGCUAUCAAUGCCACAUUGAGUAAGUGGGGAACUAGAAAGGGGAAAAGGAUAACCAAAAAAAAAAAAAAUUGGGGAUAAAUUGUGUUAUUUAUAUGCAUUUUCUUUUCAUUAAAUUCAAUGUGAAAUUCACAUAAAUUAAUUUUCUAUAAGAAAGAAAAUUGAUGUAAUACACUAAUAUUGGUCAUUGAAGAGAUUUACGUGUCUGUGGUGGCAGUAGCUUUUUGCAACAUGUGUUAUUUAUAUUCAUUCUCUUUUCUUUUACUUUUUUUAAAAAAAUAAAUUUACUUAUUCUCCCUUUUCAUUAAAUUCAAUGUGAAAUCCACAUAAAUUAAAUUGGUGUAAUGCACUAAUAUUAGUCAUUGAAGGGAUUUACGUGUCUGUGAUAGCAGUAGUUUUUUGCAGCUAGUGAAAAGCAUGAAGGACCAAUAGGAAAUUUUUUUGCAAUUUUUUAAUAACAAUAUUUAUCUUGUUAUUAUUGACUUAUUGUUACUAUAUCUUUUUCCUUUUUAUAUUAUGACAAUAAAUUGAUGUGAGAAGAAAAAUGACAUAAAAAUUUGUAACCUAAGUUAGGUUAAAAUAGACAAGGCAAAGUGGAAACAGGUAAGGUGAUGUUGAUGCAUUGCAUUGACUUUGAAGAAGCAUAAGCGUCAAGCGUAGCUACCAUGUGUAUUUGACCGCAAAGGUUAUGGAAUUGUUGGUAGUUGCAAACACUACACUCUACUUACUACUCAGUACUCACUUUCGUAACCUUAUCACUUUGCUUCUUUCCCUUACAUUCUCUCACUAACAUUUAUGGUUUGUUGUUGCUAUCAAUUUCAGAUUACCUUAUUAAAUUGUAAUUUGUGAUCAUCACCUACUUAUAGAUAAAAGAGUAAUUCUUGGCAUACAAGCGAUUAAGUCUCGUAAGCCUUACAAGUUUAAUUAAAACUAACGCUCAAAACACGCUUCGAACCAUUCUUCUUCCUCUUCGUCUUCUCCUUCUUCUUUUCUUUCGUUUCUUGCCUUCUCUUU
Arachis ipaensis is the source of this 5849-nucleotide non-coding RNA. The record is from RefSeq and is a predicted model, not a curated record. Lineage: Eukaryota; Viridiplantae; Streptophyta; Magnoliopsida; Fabales; Fabaceae.